GAUGAACGCUGGCGGCGUGCCUAAUACAUGCAAGUCGAGCGAACAGACGAGGAGCUUGCUCCUCUGACGUUAGCGGCGGACGGGUGAGUAACACGUGGAUAACCUACCUAUAAGACUGGGAUAACUUCGGGAAACCGGAGCUAAUACCGGAUAAUAUAUUGAACCGCAUGGUUCAAUAGUGAAAGACGGUUUUGCUGUCACUUAUAGAUGGAUCCGCGCCGCAUUAGCUAGUUGGUAAGGUAACGGCUUACCAAGGCAACGAUGCGUAGCCGACCUGAUAGGGUGAUCGGCCACACUGGAACUGAGACACGGUCCAGACUCCUACGGGAGGCAGCAGUAGGGAAUCUUCCGCAAUGGGCGAAAGCCUGACGGAGCAACGCCGCGUGAGUGAUGAAGGUCUUCGGAUCGUAAAACUCUGUUAUUAGGUAAGAACAAAUGUGUAAGUAACUAUGCACGUCUUGACGGUACCUAAUCAGAAAGCCACGGCUAACUACGUG
RNAcentral lists this ribosomal RNA (497 nucleotides) under uncultured bacterium. Its description in RNAcentral is "partial 16S ribosomal RNA". It matches the Rfam family "Bacterial small subunit ribosomal RNA", at positions 28 to 507 of the family's 1533-position model. The record is from RNAcentral.